CUUCUCUAAAUUGUACUGCAAGGUUUUGGCAGCCAGAGCUCCCACUCCUUGCCACCAUCCCACCGCCACCACUGGAGGUGCUGAAGGCCAAGUACAAGCCAUCCGGGUGGAAACCUGUAUUUGAAGGUCUGCACCGCGGGCCACUGUAGGCAGAAAAUCAAGUUGGGAGUCUGAGGAAAGCUACUCUAAUCAUAGAAAAAUUCUUGUAUUAUUUGUGUUUCUCAAAUCUCACUACUCAGAGUGGGAGCCGCGGACCAGCAGCAGUAGCAGCAAUGCCUGGGAGCUUGCUAGAAACACAGAAUGUCACUCCCCACCCCAGACUAAUGAGAAUCUGCGUCUUGACAAGAUCCCUGGCUGAUGCCUGUACAGCUUUACAGUUUGAAGAGCACUGGUCUAAAGGCAACAAAUCAUGAAGAUUUUAUUUCAAAAAUCCAAGGGCCCUUGGGACCCCAGAGAAUGCCACUUCACUUGAAUAAAACCAGACCUGGGUGCCCUCUCUACCACGGGGGAAUUGCCACUUUGACCCUCCUGAACACUCUACUUAAGACUCAGGUGUGUCCCUCUUGUCUCAUCCUUCAGUGAGCCCCCACGACUGGAAGCGCCCGUGGGCAAGGACACAGGUCACGGGGCAACCUCUGCCCUCAUGUGUG
Long non-coding RNA from Homo sapiens (human), 650 nucleotides. The record is from Ensembl. NCBI's taxonomy places the organism in Eukaryota, Metazoa, Chordata, Mammalia, Primates, Hominidae.